AGAGUUUGAUCAUGGCUCAGAAUUAACGCUGGCGGCAUGCCUAACACAUGCAAGUCGCACGAGAAAGCCUCCUUCGGGAGGCAAGUAAAGUGGCGCACGGGUGAGUAACGCGUGGAUAAUCUACCUCAUUCUGGGGGAUAACGCACCGAAAGGUGCGCUAAUACCGCAUAACCCGGUUGAUUUUCGGAUUGACCGGUAAAGGUGACCUCUUCAUGAAAGUUACCGGGAAGAGAUGAGUCCGCGUCCCAUUAGCUUGUUGGUGGGGUAAUGGCCUACCAAGGCUCCGAUGGGUAGCUGGUCUGAGAGGACGAUCAGCCACACUGGAACUGGAACACGGUCCAGACUCCUACGGGAGGCAGCAGUGAGGAAUAUUGCGCAAUGGGGGAAACCCUGACGCAGCGAUGCCGCGUGGGUGAAGAAGGCCUUCGGGUCGUAAAGCCCUGUCAAGUGGGAAGAAAUGUCUUAGGGCCAAUAUCCUUAAGGCUUGACGGUACCACUGAAGGAAGCACCGGCUAACUCCGUGCCAGCAGCCGCGGUAAGACGGAGGGUGCAAGCGUUAUUCGGAUUUAUUGGGCGUAAAGAGUGUGUAGGCGGCCGGUCAAGCCAGAUGUGAAAGCCCAGGGCUUAACCCUGGAAGUGCAUUUGGAACUGGUUGGCUUGAGUUCGGGAGAGGGAAGUGGAAUUCCGGGUGUAGAGGUGAAAUUCGUAGAUAUCCGGAGGAACACCGGUGGCGAAGGCGACUUCCUGGACCGAAACUGACGCUGAGACACGAAAGCGUGGGGAGCAAACAGGAUUAGAUACCCUAGUAGUCC
This 812-nucleotide ribosomal RNA is filed under the name uncultured bacterium. Its description in RNAcentral is "bacterial SSU rRNA". It matches the Rfam family "Bacterial small subunit ribosomal RNA", at positions 8 to 796 of the family's 1533-position model. The record is from RNAcentral.